RNAcentral lists this transfer RNA (98 nucleotides) under freshwater metagenome. Its description in RNAcentral is "tRNA-Ala". The record is from RNAcentral.
GCUGGAGGUGGGGGAGGAGUCGUCCUGGCUCAUGCUCGCGAUGUGAGCACAGCUCGCUCGUGGCGCUGCGAUCGGAGGUCGUGGCCCCUGCUCCGGCC